Molecule: long non-coding RNA, 326 nt
Filed under: Malus domestica (apple)
Lineage: Eukaryota; Viridiplantae; Streptophyta; Magnoliopsida; Rosales; Rosaceae
Description: long non-coding RNA (MDOM_LNC020995)
Source: RNAcentral
AAGGAUUGUGUGUUAUUAUCCUAUACAAAUUAGGCCUUUAAAUCCUUUUCCUUUGUUCCAUCCCUUGCUGCACAAAUCAUUCACCACCCUCUACCAUAUUUUCACUACACCAUUCACCAAUCAUCCCUCAUUGUGCCGUGAGUUUGCAAGGAGAAGAAGGAAGACAACUUGGAGCCGUGCAUGCCAUUCAAGACGUUGGAUUGUCGGAGCGUUUCUAGGUGUUUUCUAUCUUUGUUUCAAUGUUUAAAUUUAUUUAUCUUUGUUUGUUUGCGAACAUGAGGAACUAAUUUCUUUAUAGUUAGAGGGGAAUUCAAAGCCAUGAUCAU